Molecule: ribosomal RNA, 301 nt
Filed under: uncultured bacterium
Lineage: Bacteria
Description: partial 16S ribosomal RNA
Rfam family: Bacterial small subunit ribosomal RNA
Source: RNAcentral
CAGUCGCCGCGGGAAUACAGAGGGUGCAAGCGUUAAUCGGAAUUACUGGGCGUAAAGCGCGCGUAGGUGGUUUGUUAAGUCGAAUGUGAAAUCCCCGGGCUUAACCUGGGAACUGCAUCCGAAACUGGCAAGCUAGAGUAUGGUAGAGGGUAGUGGAAUUUCCUGUGUAGCGGUGAAAUGCGUAGAUAUAGGAAGGAACACCAGUGGCGAAGGCGACUACCUGGACUGAUACUGACACUGAGGUGCGAAAGCGUGGGGAGCAAACAGGAUUAGAUACCCGAGUAGUCCUUGUCUCUUAUAC